Long non-coding RNA from Solenopsis invicta (red fire ant), 583 nucleotides. RefSeq lists it as uncharacterized. The transcript has 2 exons. The record is from RefSeq and is a predicted model, not a curated record. NCBI's taxonomy places the organism in Eukaryota, Metazoa, Arthropoda, Insecta, Hymenoptera, Formicidae.
CAGAAAUUAAUAGCCCCUGAUAGAAUACCGCUCAUGGAAUUAACGCUGCAAUAAAAGAUGUUUGUAGUUGGCUAAAAUUGAACUGCAAGGUAGAGGAAAAUCUUCACAAACCUCCUUUUACGACCAGUGACAACCAGUCAGACCAGAAGCGGAGAGGCGGUCCAUCGUGGACUGACGUACCGGUGCUAUCCUUCUCCGAUCGGCUAUUCUAACUCAUGACGAGGAGCUUUGUAGCCCGAAGAACAUCCAGAGACGCAACAAUUUCUCAUAUUUCUAAAUAGUCAAAUAACAAGUUCUCAUAUUUAUAAAUAGUUGUUAUUAAACUCAAUUGUUAUUGGUUUGGUUUUUUUUUCUUUUACGUUAUUUUAGGUUAUAUAAUAAAAUUCACUUACCUUAUCAAUAGGUUGUACGGGUAGGCCUCUGAACUACUUCUUUCUCUUCUUUCCGGACAAAAUCUGAACACUGUUGAACACUGCUGAACACUGCUGAACACUGCUGAAUACUUUUGAAAUAUAUUGAAAUAUAAAUCCGCGCACGUUCUGCGUUGCACAUGGUUGCACAUGUAACGAAAACAAAGCAUGAA